RNAcentral lists this ribosomal RNA (403 nucleotides) under Verrucomicrobiota bacterium. Its description in RNAcentral is "Verrucomicrobia bacterium partial 16S ribosomal RNA". It matches the Rfam family "Bacterial small subunit ribosomal RNA", at positions 355 to 776 of the family's 1533-position model. The record is from RNAcentral. Lineage: Bacteria; Pseudomonadati; Verrucomicrobiota.
UGGGGAAUAUUGCACAAUGGGCGCAAGCCUGAUGCAGCAACGCCGCGUGAACGAUGAAGGUCUUCGGAUCGUAAAGUUCUGUUGCAGGGGAAGAUAAUGACGGUACCCUGUGAGGAAGCCCCGGCUAACUACGUGCCAGCAGCCGCGGUAAUACGUAGGGGGCUAGCGUUAUCCGGAUUUACUGGGCGUAAAGGGUGCGUAGGUGGUCUUUCAAGUCGGUGGUUAAAGGCUACGGCUCAACCGUAGUUAGCCUCCGAAACUGGAAGACUUGAGUGCAGGAGAGGAAAGUGGAAUUCCCAGUGUAGCGGUGAAAUGCGUAGAUAUUGGGAGGAACACCAGUGGCGAAGGCGGCUAUCUGGACAGUAACUGACGCUGAGGCGCGAAAGCGUGGGUAGCAAACAGG